UUUUUUUCCUUUCCUGCAUCGGUAUAUUGAAUUCAGAAUGGUAAUAAAUACACAACUAAAGCUGGAACGGUGGCUAUCUAUGUACAUACAUACACAAAAUAUUCAUAUUUACAUGUUUUUGACCAUACCAUUCUCACAUAUGAUAUCUAUAGUUUUAUGUAUGAAACGUUAGCAGGUAUUCAUUAUUAAAGACUUUCUAUAUGUCAAGACGAUUACCUAAUGUAACCAUAUUAUAUUAAAAUAUAUUAUAUAAUACUGUAUUAUAUUAUAUUUUUUUAUUAUAUUACAUUAUAUUACAUAAUAUUUUAUUUUUUCCCCUCUUUCUGCGCUAUUUUCAUGCACUAUUUCCAUUAUAUAUCUGAGGGGUGAGUAGGGUGCAUAAGGUCUCAUUGAAGUUACAACUGGACAAUGAAGUGGAAAGCCAAUCGGAGUUUAGGAGGAAAGGUACUCGUCGCCAGUUCUCUCCAACAGUUGUACACAAUUUGACGCGCCCUUCCCUUCUACAUAUAUUUAAUGGGAACACAGUAAAUUUAAGACGAACAACAUUUGCAUACAAUAUUACAGAAAUUUUCAUUAUUAUGUCUUCUGAUGUAACAUUAAACCUAGAAUUCUUCUUUUCUUGUCUA
Long non-coding RNA from Topomyia yanbarensis, 626 nucleotides. RefSeq lists it as uncharacterized. The transcript has 2 exons. The record is from RefSeq and is a predicted model, not a curated record. Lineage: Eukaryota; Metazoa; Arthropoda; Insecta; Diptera; Culicidae.